AGGACGAACGCUGGCGGCGUGCUUAACACAUGCAAGUGGAGCGACGAACCAGGGCUUGCCCUGGGGCAGAGCCGCGAACGGGUGAGUAACACGUGGGUUACCUGCCUCGAUGACCGGGACAACCCGAGGAAAACUCGGGCUAAUACCGGAUGUGCCCGCAAGGGGAAAGGAAGCUUCGGCCUCCGCAUCGAGAUGGGCCCGCGGCCCAUUAGCUUGUUGGUGAGGUAAAGGCUCACCAAGGCUUCGAUGGGUAGCUGGUCUGAGAGGACGAUCAGCCACACUGGGACUGAGACACGGCCCAGACUCCUACGGGAGGCAGCAGUGGGGAAUCUUGCGCAAUGCGCGAAAGCGUGACGCAGCAACGCCGCGUGGGGGAAGAAGGCUUUCGGGUUGUAAACCCCUUUCAGUUGGGACGAAGCUUCGGCGGUGAAUAGUCGUCUGGAGUGACGGUACCUUCACAAGAAGCACCGGCUAACUACGCGCAGCAGCCGCGGU
Molecule: ribosomal RNA, 495 nt
Filed under: uncultured bacterium
Lineage: Bacteria
Description: SSU rRNA
Rfam family: Bacterial small subunit ribosomal RNA
Source: RNAcentral